CCUACGGGAGGCAGCAGUGGGGAAUUUUGGACAAUGGGCGCAAGCCUGAUCCAGCCAUUCCGCGUGAGUGAAGAAGGCCUUCGGGUUGUAAAGCUCUUUCGCGAGGGAAGAAAACUUACCAUCGAAUAAAUGGUGAGGCUGACGGUACCUUGAUAAGAAGCACCGGCUAACUACGUGCCAGCAGCCGCGGUAAUACGUAGGGUGCGAGCGUUAAUCGGAAUUACUGGGCGUAAAGCGUGCGCAGGCGGUUUUGUAAGUCAGAUGUGAAAUCCCCGAGCUCAACUUGGGAACUGCGUUUGAAACUACAAGACUAGAAUAUGUCAGAGGGGGGUAGAAUUCCACGUGUAGCAGUGAAAUGCGUAGAGAUGUGGAGGAAUACCAAUGGCGAAGGCAGCCCCCUGGGAUAAUAUUGACGCUCAUGCACGAAAGCGUGGGGAGCAAACAGGAUUAGAUACCCUGGUAGUCCACGCCCUAAACGAUGUCUACUAGUUGUUGGUGGAGUAAAAUCCAUGAGUAACGCAGCUAACGCGUGAAGUAGACCGCCUGGGGAGUACGGUCGCAAGAUUAAAACUCAAAGGAUUGACGG
Molecule: ribosomal RNA, 586 nt
Filed under: uncultured bacterium
Lineage: Bacteria
Description: bacterial SSU rRNA
Rfam family: Bacterial small subunit ribosomal RNA
Source: RNAcentral